This 21-nucleotide non-coding RNA is filed under the name Arabidopsis thaliana (thale cress). The record is from RNAcentral. Lineage: Eukaryota; Viridiplantae; Streptophyta; Magnoliopsida; Brassicales; Brassicaceae.
CUCUGAGAGGCAUCAGGCUCC